AACAAACACAUGGAAGCCAGCUUUAAAACCAUGGAAAUGCCCCACAUUUCAUCACCGGGUCCUUUAGUAUUUAUUUCAACUUAUUGGUUGUUUUUGUAAAGUGAUAAGGAGAUUAAAUCACAGCUGGAAUUUGCUUUAAUAAUGUAGCGCCCUGGGCUUCGUUCAUAUUUCUGCUCACCCGAAGGUUCUCAUUGCUCUGUGGUGUGUGCCCGUGUGCCUGCUGUGCUCACUGCAAGGCAUUCUGGGAGAUACAAGGAUGAUACAAGGAUACCUCUAUCCCUGUUCCUGACCUCAUGGAGUUUACGGUCUGAUGGGGAGGUGGCCACCUUCAAGAGCUUUGUGUAGGGAGUGAUUAUAUUUGGAAGAGAAUUAGAAAUUUUUUGGAGAUAAUUUUCAGAGAUAUGAACUGUCCUUAUUUAUAAUGACAGCUACAGGAUAAUAUGGUAAAAUAGAACUGUUGGUUCUAUUAGAAACUCAACAGUUGUUUAGAGAUUAUAACAUCCUGUUCUCUGGAGGGAAAGAUAAGAGUAUUUGAAUGUCAAGUUCGCUUCUUCCACAUCUGAAACAGAGUUCCUCCAGGGCUGGGCCUGACCACUUUUGUCUUUCUUUGUCAUCCCAUUGAUCAAUUAGUCAAUGUGUUUGUUGAUUUGACUUUAAAAGGAAUUUAAAAAUCAGCAAUAAAUAAGGGAAAGCAAGAGACCAGAUAUCGUAAAAGGUGAAACAAUGUCAUCUAGAAAAAAGGAUCUGAUCAUCAUAAAAUUCAGUGGCAAAAUGGGAAAUGCCAAGAUAUGACUUAUUUGUACAAACAAACUUCAGCUAACUGUACACCAGCCUUCCUGGCCUUCGAGGCUUCUACGACUCUCCUCUCCCACUCAAAAAAGUUUGAGGAGUGGUCAAUAAAUUCCUCAGCAGCUCUAACAGAAGUUAAUUUUCUGAUGGUAAAGGGCAAACUGCCUCAUGUUUCUAAAGCCUCAGUUUCUUCAUCUGUAAAAAGGGGAUUGAACUGGAUUGUCUCUAAGGUACCUUACAGUUCUAACUAUCUCUGGAUCCAUUAAAGGCAGAAGAUUGUGUUGGACACACUGUGAGUGGCUGGUUUUCUGCAGCUGAAGAGAGAAAUGCUCUGAUUGUCUGGUGGUAUCUGUAAGGGGCCAGUCCUUUCUGGAAAAACCCAGAAGAGUGGAUGGACCAAUGAAAAAGGAGAAAAGUAGAGAGAAUAAGGAGGAGAGCAGCAGUCACUGGGAGUGCUGAGGAAAUAGCCACUGACAUCAGGAAAGGAGAAGGUCUAGGAAAGGGGGACCCAUGGCCCUUUGUAGCUGCAUCUUGGGACAGAGAAGGUGACGUCUCCAUCGCACAGGGGACAAAAGAGCGCCGAUUCUCAAUGAGGAAGCCCUGAUUGACACUGCCCCUAUCUACACCGUUCCCUAUGCUGCACCACAAUGGCCGUUGGCCAUAGUAGAAGCUCUAGAGAUGAGGCAAGCCAUAGAGCCAAAUAGAGGCACAGAUUCCAAUCUUUCCCCAAUCAGCUGAUCAAUCCACAGGCAUUUGUGAGAUGCCUACUGUGUGCCAGGCACUGUGCUAAGUGUCAGGGAUCCGGAGAAGGAUUCCGCCUUCCAGGCGCUCACGCUCCAGCUGUAGAGAACAAGCGGGAGAGCCGACAAGGAAGGCGGGUGGGGUCAGCAAAGGGCUACUUUGAAACUCUCCACAGAUACUGAACCAUCCAGUUAUGCAUUAGCCGCAUGUGGUGAAAGGCCCUCAAUCACAGUAGUUACUGUGGCUCCUUGAGAAGGCAGGAGAUUUUUAUCAGCAAAGGCAAUAGCCUGAAUGGCAAGAAACCUUCAAAGGGGAACUUCAGCCGUGGCUGAGGCGACAUGUAAGGCCGUUACGCAGCAGGCGCCAGACGGUCGAUGACGGCGGCGCAGAAGCGCCUUGUGACUCUGGGGGACAAUUCGUCCCUGAGCACCCCGUGCCCUCAACAACUUUCUCAUAUUUCUGAAACCUGCCGAUGAUGCUUACUCAUUAACCUGAUAAGCAAUGAACGGGCAGAACCCGGCUUGGGCCCCAGGGGAUGGUAGAAGACCUCGAGGGAGGCCUCCAGUAUAUUAGGCAGACUUCCACGGAGGAUUAUGGGAGUGAGAGGCAAGAGUCGAGAAGCUGAGGAGGGGGAGAUCUGCAGCAGUGGGAGCGGACAUUCUGGGAACAACAUAAUCCCCGGGUCCGUGGAGGCUUUCAGGUAUUGGCAACUUGUUCAGUGGAGGGCUGUGCUCCUGAAUUUCAGUCCCCUUAAGUAAAUAAGAUAAACUAUCCUUUCAUGUGUUACCUCUGCAGGUUUCCAUAACUGAAAACCCUUCAUGAAUGGCAAAUUUCAUCACCAUAGAACUUCAAAGGUAUCAUACAUUUCCUUACCUAUUGCUUCACAGAGGACAAGAUGAAACACGAACAGAGACCAUUUUUGGAACCAAUGCCAUUAUCUUUUUGUAUUUUCAGCAAAAGAUUAUUUCAGAACUACAGGCUGGUUUGAGAAUAACAAAGCUAUACAAUUGCUUAACAACCAUGAAGUUCUCUCUGAGGAAAAAGGGUUAGUGCUAGGACAUCAAUUUCAUCAUCUUCCCUCUACCUGAUGUUACCUCCUUGUUAAAUCAUUAAGAACAUGAAAUGACAUUCUGGAGAGAUUUCAUAUGAAAAUGAUCCAUUAUGAAAGUAUUUCAAAAGACUUUCAGGCAUUUUAAUUCCAAUGAUGUACUUUUUAAAUCUGAUGGUAUCUGGAAUUCUUUUAAAAGCCAAAUUCUAAGAGCAGAGUUAGAGAAAAAUGUGCUCUGUUGUCCCAUCAGCAGAAGUAUCAUCUUCUGCUGAUGAAUUUAUUAGUUUGGUGUUUGUUGAGUUCUGAAUAAAAAUAAAUGAAUGUUUUUUUAAAAAUCUGGCUUUAAUGAAAAAAAAAAUCUCUAACCAACAGUAAGUAUUGCAAUGUGGCUGACCUGCAUGCAGCUAAGGAAGAAUAAAAGAGGUGACUACGUGUGAAAUGGCACUGUUGUCUCUUGAAAACAGCACCGCCGUACCUACAUACGACACCUGCGUAGGCAGGAGAAUUGAAUUUAAGAAUUUUCUGAGGAGCUUUUGUAAUCGAAGACUGAUUUCUGCAUGAUAUGAGACGUGUGACUAUUACCUGUCAAAGUAUAUAACUGCACUCUUAUAUGCACAUUAAAUUAUUAAUUAAUUAAAUAAAUAUAUUAAUAAAUAUA
This is a long non-coding RNA of Antechinus flavipes (yellow-footed antechinus), 3236 nucleotides long. RefSeq lists it as uncharacterized. The record is from RefSeq and is a predicted model, not a curated record. NCBI's taxonomy places the organism in Eukaryota, Metazoa, Chordata, Mammalia, Dasyuromorphia, Dasyuridae. The transcript has 2 exons.